AAAUUUUUUAGUUAGACAGUCUCUUUCGAUUAGAGCACUUCAGUAAAUCAGAAGGUUUGUGAGGUGAACAAUGAGACAGCAAGAAAGCGUCGCUCCGUUCGCCCACAGCGAGUCUUCAUCUCUUUUAGUCGCUUAGUCUGCAAGGCAUCACAGUCAGUUCAAACGACAAAGAUAACAGUCUAUGUACAAGUCUUCCGGCCGUUGUUCUGCACCUCAGCGGCCCUCAUGAUGUCGGAACCAAACUGAUUUAAUUGUAGUGAAGACGGCACUGUACUUUGUAUUCCAGUAGCUGCUAGUGUCUUUUUUUUAUCUGGAGAAUGGAACUCUUGACGUUUGGCGGCGGUGCUCUCGGGGAACUGAACAAACGGUUGAAGGAUCGGAGAAUUCCACGCACCUCGAAAAGCUAGAUGAACUAAGGACCUUGAAGGAGUCUUCUUAACUUACCGCCUGCCGAACAAAUCUUCCCGAUUAGGACAAGUUGCGACUCGGAUAUCGUUAUACAUGUUGGAGAGCCGAUUAAACAAGGAAGCUCACACUUCAACAUUACGGUGAACCCAGUUCUUG
This is a long non-coding RNA of Varroa destructor (honeybee mite), 564 nucleotides long. Lineage: Eukaryota; Metazoa; Arthropoda; Arachnida; Mesostigmata; Varroidae. The record is from RefSeq and is a predicted model, not a curated record.